CCGUAUUGGUCCGAAUACAAGACGGCCUUUUUCCCCAUCGAAAUACGUCCGAAAAAGUUGGGUCGUCUUAUAUUCGGGGUCUAGUAUUCAGAGCACAGCUCUAAUUGUUCGCCUGUCCCUUUAAAUGUCAAUACACAUGACGCGCUCUGGGAGGAGCAGGGGAGCGAUGACAGUGAGAGCGAACACAGUGGGGCGGAGGACGAAUAGAGAGGAGACAUCGGAGGAGAAGUUUGGCGAGUUUUAGUUUAGCGGUAGUUUAGUUAAAAGUGUUGCCUGUAUUUCCUCUGUUAUUUCAAAAUGUUAAAAACAUGUUGAUAAUAUUGCUUGAUUGUUAAUCGAUUUUAAUUUUGAAUCAUACUGUACAUAGUUCGGCCUUGUGAAACACUUUGUUUUGAAAAGUGCUGUAGGCCUAUACCGAUAAAUACGGUAUGUUAAUUAUUAUUAUAAUUAUUAAUACAACAGGUGUUUCAUUCAAUGUGUUUUUAAUAUUGUUAUUUUCAAAUAAAAUGAAGUUCUUUAAAAAAAGUUCUUUAUAAAAACAA
Molecule: long non-coding RNA, 542 nt
Organism: Labrus mixtus (cuckoo wrasse)
Lineage: Eukaryota; Metazoa; Chordata; Actinopteri; Labriformes; Labridae
Exons: 2
Source: RefSeq, a predicted model, not a curated record